This is a long non-coding RNA of Lepidothrix coronata (blue-crowned manakin), 1292 nucleotides long. RefSeq lists it as uncharacterized. The transcript has 5 exons. NCBI's taxonomy places the organism in Eukaryota, Metazoa, Chordata, Aves, Passeriformes, Pipridae. The record is from RefSeq and is a predicted model, not a curated record.
GGCACCGGCACCCGCCCGGACCCUCCCCGGAGAUCAACGGCAGGUCCCCGAGGCGACGCUGGACUGUUCCCGGGCCAGGGAGAUGUCAUGAGUGGAUCCAACCCUGUCCCUGACAGAGGUCUCUGAAGAACAGGGGAUUCAGGGUGCCAGGAAAGCCCCGGGACAGACGGGAGCGCGAGCGGUGCCGGAGGGACACGAGUGGGAGCAGGGACAGGGCUGCAGGCAAGCUGUGCUGAAGCCAGGAAUGGACUGACAGAGGAAUCCCCAGGGCCUCAGCAGGAUGCAUUAACAGUGUGUCUCUCUGGUGAGCCGUGAUGGGAAGAGCACGGAGCAAAAAAGAAGGGAGAACACGAAGAGCAGGUCUCUCGAAGGAUCCAGGCUGACAGCAAUAUUGCCAUCUGAGUGAAGAGAACUCAGACACACAUAAUCCUCGGGAAAAUUCAUCUCCACCCUCCCGCAGACCCCGGUGAGAGCCCUUGAAGUGGUAAUUAAAGUCUAUUGAGUGGCAACUGCACCUGUUUAGAGAGGAGAGCGCGGGUAAGAGGUGCACAAAGGGAGAUGAGCAGCACGGGGAGAGGAGCUGCUGGAGGUGGGGAGGAAGGGAGGUGGAAAGAAGGGAUGAAAAAAAGAAAAAAGUGUUUGUUGGUUUGCUGAAGUCGAUCCGAGCCGAUGUGCAUUUCCAUCCUGCCCUUGAUUUGCUCCCUGUGCCCCCUCAGCUCUCACCAGGCUCCCUCCCCGCUCUCACACCCGCUGAUGGAAACUCCAGGGGGUUUUCCCCGCCAGCCCCGGCUCUGGUGGUGUAAAUCAGCAGAGUUCCACCAAAGUCCUCGAGGACUCAGAGCAGCCCCAGCUCAUUCACACCAGUGGCUGCAGACCCGUCCCAGGGAGGCUCAUUAGCAGCCCCCCGGCUCCUGGGCUGGCACAGGGAUGUGCCAGCGCUUGUCCCUCUGCCCUGGGAGAGAGCACAUCCCUCUGUGACAGCCUGAGCCCCCCACUGCAAACCCUACAGCAGCCAGGGCAGGGAAUCAGAGGUGUUUCUGGCUUUCUGGCUGAGAGCAGAGGGAGGUGGAAGGGGCUGGAGUGGGGCAAUGCCACGUUCCACACCUGCUGGGAUUCCUACAUCUGUGGCUCCCAAAUGUUCUGAGCCAGCGUCACCUCAGCAUUCCCAAGGUCUGCAGGUGAAGCCAAGCAAAAUGGAUUUAUUCAUAAAUUUUUGUUCGUGGAUUUUUCCAAGGGCCUGGAAGGACAGGACAAGGAGGAAUGGCUUCCUACUGCCAGAGGGCAGGGUUAGA